RNAcentral lists this ribosomal RNA (504 nucleotides) under uncultured bacterium. RNAcentral's name for it is "partial 16S ribosomal RNA". It matches the Rfam family "Bacterial small subunit ribosomal RNA", at positions 28 to 523 of the family's 1533-position model. The record is from RNAcentral.
GAUAAACGCCAGCGGCAGGCUUAACACAUGCAAGUCGAGGGGCAGCAUAGAUUGUAGCAAUACAAUUGGUGGCGACCGGCGCACGGGUGCGUAACGCGUAUGCAACCUACCCGUCACAGGGGGAUAAUCCGGAGAAAUCUGGUCUAAUACCCCAUAACAUAUGGAUCGGCAUCGGUUCAUGUUGAAAUUUUCGGAGGUGACGGAUGGGCAUGCGUAGCAUUAGCUUGUUGGUGAGGUAACGACUCACUAAGGCGACGAUGCUUAGGGGGACUGAGAGGUUUUCCCCCCACACUGGUACUGAGACACGGACCAGACUCCUACGGGAGGCAGCAGUGAGGAAUAUUGGCCAAUGGGCGCAAGCCUGAACCAGCCAUGCCGCGUGCAGGAUGACGGCUCUAUGAGUUGUAAACUGCUUUUGUACGAGGGUAAAGUGGGUUACGUGUAACCUUUUGAAAGUAUCGUACGAAUAAGGAUCGGCUAACUCCGUGCCAGCCGCCGCCGUAA